This 73-nucleotide transfer RNA is filed under the name Actinomycetes bacterium. RNAcentral's name for it is "Actinobacteria bacterium tRNA-Asn". It matches the Rfam family "tRNA". Rfam says of the family: Transfer RNA (tRNA) molecules are approximately 80 nucleotides in length. Their secondary structure includes four short double-helical elements and three loops (D, anti-codon, and T loops). RNAcentral also lists the same sequence under 3 other names. Lineage: Bacteria; Bacillati; Actinomycetota; Actinomycetes. The record is from RNAcentral.
UCCGGGGUAGCUCAAUCGGCGGAGCAGUGGCCUGUUAAGCCAACGGUUGUGGGUUCGAGUCCCACCCCCGGAG